Pongo abelii (Sumatran orangutan) is the source of this 45-nucleotide non-coding RNA. NCBI's taxonomy places the organism in Eukaryota, Metazoa, Chordata, Mammalia, Primates, Hominidae. The record is from Rfam.
AAACAAGCUUUUUUAAAAGCUAUCAAUUAUAGUAACACAUAAAUA